RNAcentral lists this ribosomal RNA (497 nucleotides) under uncultured bacterium. RNAcentral's name for it is "partial 16S ribosomal RNA". It matches the Rfam family "Bacterial small subunit ribosomal RNA", at positions 28 to 507 of the family's 1533-position model. The record is from RNAcentral.
GAUGAACGCUGGCGGCGUGCCUAAUACAUGCAAGUCGAGCGAACGGACGGGAAGCUUGCUUUUCUGAUGUUAGCGGCGGACGGGUGAGUAACACGUGGAUAACCUACCUAUAAGACUGGGAUAACUUCGGGAAACCGGAGCUAAUACCGGAUAAUAUUUUGAACCGCAUGGUUCAAAAGUGAAAGACGGUCUUGCUGUCACUUAUAGAUGGAUCCGCGCUGCAUUAGCUAGUUGGUAAGGUAACGGCUUACCAAGGCAACGAUGCAUAGCCGACCUGAGAGGGUGAUCGGCCACACUGGAACUGAGACACGGUCCAGACUCCUACGGGAGGCAGCAGUAGGGAAUCUUCCGCAAAGGGCGAAAGCCUGACGGAGCAACGCCGCGUGAGUGAUGAAGGUCUUCGGAUCGUAAAACUCUGUUAUUAGGGAAGAACAUAUGUGUAAGUAACUGUGCACAUCUUGACGGUACCUAAUCAGAAAGCCACGGCUAACUACGUG